GUUUUUCUGUCGGAGAAGGCGGGGCCAAGGUGGGUGGCAUGGGCGGAGUCCCGCAAGAGCUUAGACUGUUUGUCUUUGUCUUUCUGCUGAAGGAGCAGGGUGAGCAGCUCUAAGGCACUUCCCACACUACUUCGAACCCCCAUGUCAUCAUUGUGUUUGCUUCCAGCAGAGCGUCCUGGCCAGAACAAGCCAAGGAGCCAAGACGAGAGGGACACACAGACAAACAACAGACGGAAGACGUACUGGCCGCUGGACUCCGCUGCCUCCCCCAUCUCCCCGCCAUCUGCGCCCGGAGGAUGAGCCCAGCCUUCAGGGCGAUGGAUGUGGAGCCCCGCGCCAAAGGCGUCCUUCUGGAGCCCUUUGUCCACCAGGUCGGGGGGCACUCAUGCGUGCUCCGCUUCAAUGAGACAACCCUGUGCAAGCCCCUGGUCCCAAGGGAACAUCAGUUCUACGAGACCCUCCCUGCUGAGAUGCGCAAAUUCACUCCCCAGUACAAAGGUGUGGUAUCUGUGCGCUUUGAAGAAGAUGAAGACAGGAACUUGUGUCUAAUAGCAUAUCCAUUGAAAGGGGACCAUGGAAUUGUGGACAUUGUAGAUAAUUCAGACUGUGAACCAAAAAGUAAGCUCCUAAGGUGGACAACAAACAAAAAACAUCAUGUCUUAGAAACAGAAAAGACCCCUAAGGACUGGGUGCGCCAGCACCGUAAAGAGGAGAAAAUGAAGAGCCAUAAGUUAGAAGAAGAAUUUGAGUGGCUUAAGAAAUCUGAAGUCUUGUACUACACUGUAGAGAAGAAGGGGAAUAUAAGUUCCCAGCUUAAACACUAUAACCCUUGGAGCAUGAAAUGUCACCAGCAACAGUUACAGAGAAUGAAGGAGAAUGCAAAGCAUCGGAACCAGUACAAAUUUAUCUUACUGGAAAACCUGACUUCCCGCUACGAGGUGCCUUGUGUCCUUGACCUCAAGAUGGGCACACGACAACAUGGUGAUGAUGCUUCAGAGGAGAAGGCAGCCAACCAGAUCCGAAAAUGUCAGCAGAGCACAUCUGCAGUCAUUGGUGUGCGUGUGUGUGGCAUGCAG
Molecule: small RNA, 1076 nt
Filed under: Pongo abelii (Sumatran orangutan)
Lineage: Eukaryota; Metazoa; Chordata; Mammalia; Primates; Hominidae
Description: retained intron
Source: RNAcentral